AAAAAGUUGAAGCUUCACUUAGAAGUCGGUUAAAUUUAUAUUUUACAUACAUAGCUUAAGUUUUAAAGAACAUCAAUCUUUGUAGUAGUUAAUUUUAUAUAUUUAGUAAUUUAAGAUAUAGUAAUAAAUUUAAGUAUUAACUAAAUUUGUGCCAGCAGUUGCGGUUAUACAAAUAAUACUUUCGAUUUUAGCGGUUAAGUAAUAACUUGUUUAUAAAUUUUAAUAUUUUUAUUUUAAGGUGAAAUUUUAAUAAAUUUUUAAGAUUUGAUGAUAAUAUGAAUUUACAUAAAUUUUUUAUUAGACCAGGAUUAGAUACCCUGUUAUUAAGAUUGUAGAGUUUAAGCCUGGAUUAGUAUAAGUUAAGUUCUUGAAAAUCAGAUAUUUUGGCGGUAUUUUUACCAAUCAGAGGAAUCUGUCCUGUAAUUGAUAUUCCACGGUUGGUUGGUCUUUUAUUAAACUUGUAUAUCGUUGUUAUAAGAAUGUUUUUAGAAAAUUUUAAUUUUCGGUGAAUAAGAGUUUAAGAGAGUUCAAAUCAAGGUGCAGUCUAUAGAAGUAGAGAUGGAUUACAUUAUAUUUAUAUGAGGAUUUAGGAUUUUAAGUUCUAAUAAAUUUGGAUUUGGGGGUAAUUCUAUCAAAAUUGAUAGGAUGAUUAAGGUACUAAAAUAUGCACAUAUCGCCCGUCGCUUUUGUUUUUGUAAUAAAAUAAGUCGUAACAAAGUAGAUUUACUGGAAAGUGGUUCUGGAAUGUC
Molecule: non-coding RNA, 749 nt
Filed under: Stylosomus rugithorax
Lineage: Eukaryota; Metazoa; Arthropoda; Insecta; Coleoptera; Chrysomelidae
Source: RNAcentral